This 253-nucleotide ribosomal RNA is filed under the name uncultured prokaryote. RNAcentral's name for it is "partial 16S ribosomal RNA". It matches the Rfam family "Bacterial small subunit ribosomal RNA", at positions 524 to 776 of the family's 1533-position model. The record is from RNAcentral.
UACAGAGGGUGCAAGCGUUGUUCGGAAUUAUUGGGCGUAAAGGGUGCGUAGGCGGUGCGGUAAGUCUCUUGUGAAAUCUCCAGGCUCAACCUGGAGCCUGCAAGGGAAACUGCCGUGCUUGAGUGUGGGAGAGGUGAGUGGAAUUCCCGGUGUAGCGGUGAAAUGCGUAGAUAUCAAGAGGAACACCUGAGGUGAAGACGGGUUGCUGGGCCGACACUGACGCUGAUGCGCGAAAGCCAGGGGAGCAAACGGG